CGGAGGAUCCAAGCGUUAUCCGGAUUUAUUGGGUUUAAAGGGUGCGUAGGCGGAAUGAUAAGUCAGUGGUGAAAGCCUGCAGCUUAACUGUAGAAUUGCCGUUGAUACUGUUGUUCUUGAGUAUAUUUGAUGUGGGCGGAAUGUGUCAUGUAGCGGUGAAAUGCUUAGAUAUGACACAGAACACCGAUUGCGAAGGCAGCUCACAAAACUAUAACUGACGCUGAGGCACGAAAGCGUGGGGAUCAAACAGGAUUAGAUACCCUGGUAGUCCACGCUGUAAACUAUGAUUACUCGAUGUUUGCGAUACACUGUAAGCGUCUAAGCGAAAGCGUUAAGUAAUCCACCUGGGGAGUACGCUCGCAAGAGUG
Molecule: ribosomal RNA, 368 nt
Filed under: uncultured organism
Description: bacterial SSU rRNA
Rfam family: Bacterial small subunit ribosomal RNA
Source: RNAcentral